UACGUAGGGUGCAGGCGUUAAUCGGAAUUACUGGGCGUAAAGCGUGCGUAGACGGCUAUCUAAGUCGGGUGUGAAAGCCCCGGGCUCAACCUGGGAAUUGCAUUCGAGACUGAAUAGCUAGGGUACGGUAGAGGGAAGUGGAAUUUCCGGUGUAGCGGUGAAAUGCGUAGAUAUCGGAAGGAACAUCAGUGGCGAAAGCGACUUCCUGGACCAGUACCGACGUUCAGGCACGAAAGCGUGGGGAGCAAACAGG
This 253-nucleotide ribosomal RNA is filed under the name uncultured bacterium. RNAcentral's name for it is "partial 16S ribosomal RNA". It matches the Rfam family "Bacterial small subunit ribosomal RNA", at positions 524 to 776 of the family's 1533-position model. The record is from RNAcentral.